AACGUAGGAGGCGAGCGUUAUCCGGAUUUACUGGGCGUAAAGCGCGCGUAGGCGGUUGGUCAAGUCGGAUGUGAAAGCCCCUGGCUCAACUGGGGGAGGCCAUUCGAUACUGAUCGGCUUGAGGGUGAGAGAGGAAAGUGGAAUUCCCGGUGUAGCGGUGGAAUGCGUAGAGAUCGGGAGGAACACCAGUGGCGAAAGCGGCUUUCUGGCUCACCCCUGACGCUGAGUGCACGAAAGCGUGGGGAGCAAACGGG
RNAcentral lists this ribosomal RNA (254 nucleotides) under uncultured bacterium. Its description in RNAcentral is "partial 16S ribosomal RNA". It matches the Rfam family "Bacterial small subunit ribosomal RNA", at positions 524 to 776 of the family's 1533-position model. The record is from RNAcentral.